GCCGAAGUAGCUCAGUGGUAGAGCACAGCUUUCGUAAAGCUGGGGUCGUGGGUUCGAAUCCCACCUUCGGCUC
Molecule: transfer RNA, 73 nt
Filed under: Kolteria novifilia
Lineage: Bacteria; Pseudomonadati; Planctomycetota; Planctomycetia; Kolteriales; Kolteriaceae
Description: Planctomycetes bacterium Pan216 tRNA-Thr
Rfam family: tRNA
About the family: Transfer RNA (tRNA) molecules are approximately 80 nucleotides in length. Their secondary structure includes four short double-helical elements and three loops (D, anti-codon, and T loops).
Source: RNAcentral